RNA transcript from Mus musculus (house mouse), 5464 nucleotides. It is a transcript of the gene named death effector domain-containing DNA binding protein 2, with no coding region annotated. The transcript is spliced from 5 exons. Lineage: Eukaryota; Metazoa; Chordata; Mammalia; Rodentia; Muridae. The record is from RefSeq and is marked validated.
GGAGGAGCGAGGUGACGCAGGCGUAAUAAUAGAGAAGGUGCCAGAAAGAUCCAAAACAAGUGGCUGCGGCCGUCGCCCAGAAGUCAUCGGACGCUGGAAUCUGGUGAGGAUAAGAGAGGCCUAAAGGUGACUGGUGAAGGGUAGCUGGAACCACUUGGGUGCUCGGGUGAGGGCAGGAUCGAUCGCCCUUUCAGGGAGGGGGGGUCGGAUUCAGACAGUACCACCUGUGUGGCGCUCAGGGUUGUCUUGGUCGGUCCCACUUGCAGGGGGCCGAGGGUCACUUUUGAAAGGUAUCACUUGAGUGGGAUGUUGGAGCUAGCAGGAAGGUACUAGUGGACAGAACCCGAGGGCUAUGACCGGACAUUUGCCAUCCGAAGUCACCGGGCAGUGGACAAGGUGCCCUGCAAUGGGCCAUGUAGCUCAUUCGAGCUGGUCGUCUAGGUCAGUCGGUGGCAAGUUCGAAACGUACUACUCAGAAAAGGGCAUCUGGGCUUGGUCCUCCCGACAGUGAUGUGGACCGGUGGGGUCUAGCGUUCGACCUGUUACUAUGGGAUCUCGGGCGAUACCAUUCCUGUCCGUGGGAGGGAGAGAGGUUGAGACCGUUGAGGGUGUGGGGGGCGACUCUGCCCGGAGACACCUUGCGGGGCCCACGCUCUGGCCUCUGUGGGCUUUGAGCCACUGUGUCGCUGACCACGACCUCCUCCCCGCCGUGUGGGUUCUAGGCCCUGGUUCUGAGCUUGUUCCGCACCCCUCCCCUGGGAAUGGCGUUGUCCGGGUCGACCCCGGCCCCGAGCUGGGAGGAGGAUGAGUGUUUGGAUUACUACGGCAUGCUGUCGCUUCACCGUAUGUUCGAGGUAGUGGGCGGGCAGCUGACCGAGUGCGAACUGGAGCUCCUGGCCUUCCUGCUGGAUGAGGCCCCCGGCGCCCCCGGCGGCCUGGCCCGCGCCCGCAGCGGCCUGGAGCUGCUUCUGGAGCUGGAACGCCGCGGGCAGUGCGACGAGAGCAACCUGCGGCUGCUGAGCCAACUCCUGCGCGUGCUAGCCCGUCACGACCUCCUGCCACAUCUGGCGCGCAAGCGGCGCCGGCCAGUGUCCCCUGAGCGAUACAGCUAUGGCAAUCCCAGCUCUUCUUCCAAGAGGACAGAGGACAGUUGCCGGCGUCGGCGACAGGCGAGCAGUUCUUCGGACUCUCCUCAGAGUCAGUGGGACACAGGCUCCCCACCAACCAAGCGGCAGCGGCGGAGUCGGGGCCGCCCUAGCAGUGGUGCCCGGCAGCGGCGGAGAGCAGGCCUUGCAGCCUCGCAGCAGCACCAGCAGCACCAGGAGUUGGGCAGGCCCUCCUCAGAAGGCAAGGUGACCUGUGAUGGGGAAACAGGCUCAGAGAGGUGAGGUCACAUGCCCAAGGCCCACAGCUAGAGCGUGGCAGAGCUGGGACUCACUUUCAGACAUCCGGCUCCGGGUUCGGGCAGAGUACUGCGAGCAUGGGCCAGCCUUGGAGCAGGGUGUGGCGUCCCGGAGACCUCAGGCGUUGGCCCGGCAGCUGGAUGUGUUUGGACAAGCCACUGCUGUGCUGCGGUCAAGGGACCUGGGCUCUGUGGUGUGUGACAUCAAGUUCUCAGAGCUGUCCUAUCUGGACGCCUUCUGGGGCGACUACCUGAGUGGCGCCCUGCUGCAGGCCCUUCGGGGCGUGUUCCUGACUGAGGCUUUACGGGAGGCCGUGGGCCGAGAGGCUGUCCGCUUGCUGGUCAGUGUGGACGAGGCUGACUAUGAGGCUGGCCGGCGUCGCCUGUUGCUGAUGGAGGAGGAAGGAGGGCGGCGUGGGACCGAGGCCUCCUGAUCCUGGAUCUGGCAGGACUGACCCCACCUCCAAGUCUUCGAGGGCCACCAGAAAGACGACGACCCUCUUGCCCCCAGACGUCUGACAUUCAGCAGCUUGAGGACGGUGUCAGGGCUGCAGGUUCCAUGAUGGCCUCUCCGAUGAUGUGGGCUUUGAGGCAUAAACCACUUCCAGCUGCUUCCAUCCCGAGUUCCCUGCUCCCAGGUGGUUUCCCUCAGCCUUGGGGGCCCAGGCUCACAGAGCCCCGAAGCAGGGAGGCAUAACCCCCUGCACAUCGUGUCUCUCACUCUGGGCUGAUGCUGUCUGCCCCACACACUUUAGCCUAAGGGCUACUCUCUCAGGAUCUCAGAUUUACUGUCCCCAUGUGGGUUUCAGCCACAGCAGUGGGCUCUGGAGCUGGGGAUUGCUCACCUUGCCCAUUCAUCUAACCAACCUGGGCUCUGCCUGCCGCACAUACAGAUAUCCCACUCUCAUCACCUUCCCCUGCUCCCUGGAGUGAGACAGACUUGCCUUUGGGCCUUUUAACCCAGACUAUCACACAUGGGCUUUGUGGCCACAUCAGGUCAAGGGAAGCUGUUUCAUACAGAGCUAGGACCAGAACCAGCCACUUUCUCGUGAAGGGAAGACGAGGACGAGGGCUGAUGGGAAGAUGGUUCACAAACUGCGCCAAUAAAACUGCCCUGGAAAGGGCACAGGUGGGCGUCCAGGCUCUCCGGUACUUUUUGUUCGUCAGCAAGGGGAAAGGGCUGGAGAAGAGCAAGAUGCUAGCUCAUCUGAACAGGCAUCUCCAUUCCUUGGGCCUCUUUUUCCUUAACCAUCACAGGAAAUAAGGCCCUGGCAUCGACGCCCAGCCUGUUCACACAUGCACUGUAGGGUUCUGUAUGCUCAUGGAGGGGAAAUCUUUCUAAGUUUUAUGUGUGCUUGUGCACCACGUGUGUUCUGGCCUCCUCGGAGGCCAAAGAACAGGGUGUUAGAUGCCUUGGAACUAGAGUUAGAGCCAGUCAAGUCACUGUGAGGCUGCUGGGUCCUCCGGAAGAACAGCCAGUGAUUCUAACCACUGAGCCGCUUCUCCAGCCAUUUUCAGGUGUUCGUAACGAGCCCGUACACUGAGUGUAGUGCCCAUGGAUGGCCAAGUUGUGAGAUCGCCCUGGAACUCAAGUUCCCAGAAGUCGUGAGCUGCCUGACAUGGCAGCUUGGAACCGAACCCUGGUCCCCUGGAAGAGGACUCCAGGAUUUUUAGCCCUCUCAGUGAGAGGAAUUGAUUAUUUCCAAAACUGUUGGAGCCCUGGGAAUGGGGAACUGGAAAGGAGAGGCAGCCAGGGGUUCUCUGCCUGCAAUUCCUUCCCCCGAGGCUCCCAACCCUCCCUCUCUGACUUUGGGUUUCAGAGUCCAAAGCUAAAGCACUACUUGCCACUAUGUGGCCCAAGGGGAAUGUGUGAGGCCUCUCCUGCCUUCUCCCCUCAGAAGGCAAAGACUCGAGUGUUUCUCACACGAAAUCAAGUCUUCCAUCCUUAGGGCCUAAGGAGCAAGGACUGGAGAGAUGGGGGUGGGUGGGUGGGUAGAUUCCAAGGGCUGCCCUCUUCUGCGUCAAGAAGUGUUCUUGCCCAUGCCUAAGUGCUCUUCCUGGACCCCUAAUGGUUGGUGGACAGGGAAGAAAUGGCAGACGUAGGGGUUGAGUUCUGUCCAGGAGUGGAGGUGGGUCCCACCGGCCUCUGUGUGUCCUCAGAACCUGCUCUUACUGCCUCAGAGCAAAGUUCUACUAGGUGGUCUGAUGGCAGGCUGCAUUGUGUGAGGUCAGUAAAGCAGUGCCCUGAAGGGUGAGCGGUUGCAGGCAGGCUGGACCAGUGAGGGGAGGCUUGCUUAAGUAGUCCUUUCCUGUCUGGCCCGGGAAGAGCAUAGGCUUGCUUUUAUUAGUUUGUUGAGAACUGGGUCCUACUCUGUAUCUCUGAAACACAUAAUGUGGAUCAGGCUGACCUCAGAGGUCCAACUGCCUCUGCCCCAGAGCUCUGGGAUAUGCCCUUAGGCCUUCUUACCACAGUUUAGCUCUGAGGCUCUCCCAGCGUGAGUUUUAAGUGUACCUGGAGGUGAAGCUGCCACACUCCUUGGCCCAGGACUGGCUCUGUUCAAGCCUUGAGGUAGCUCCCCUUUUCCCUCAGCUACAGUCUGAGGCUUCUGGCUGGGCAGAUUUCCUGCUCCAGGCCAGUUCUUUCCAUGCCUCUCUCAGACAGCCUCUCCUGCCUGUUAACUUCCACCCUACCUACACUUCACCCUAUCGGCUUUCAUCACGAUGUGCACCAGGGGGAAGUUAACCUAGGUAGGAGGAAAGGGACCUGUGCAGGUGGAGUGCUCCCAUAAGUCUGUCGUGGCACAAGCCCAAGGAGUUGCCCGGGCGCACCUGCAACCUUCCACGGUGCAUGCUCUGUGGAUCCCUCCUGGGCUUGUCAGAGAGUUUUGGGUACCAAAGAGGUCUAGUAGACUCCCCAGAAGUGGCUUACACCAGCACCAUGAAGGCAACGCAAGAGCUUCAAAAGUUCAGAGUCAGGAUUUGAGGGAGGGGGCAAUAUCUUACCACUGAGAUAGGACCCUGUUGGGGCUUGACGACAGUGGCCCAUCACUCCACAGAGGAACAGAGCUGAGGGCUUGCCCUGGAAUGAGGAGUUCCCCAGAAUGAUUCCAGUAUGUGGGGGCUGGGGGGCAGGGGCAAAACGGUCCUUACCAAGGCCUCAGAAUAUUUCUGAAUUAGAUGUAAAGAGACUGGGCAGAGGAGACAUUAAGGGGGAAAAAGCCACCUAGACCCUUUAUUUGGCCUGUAGUCUUCCUGCUGCCACCUAUAUGGGGAGUUGAGAACUAUCAGAGACAGAUGUGAGCCCUUGGCAUGGGAACUUAAGGUGACUGAGGUGGCCCUAGUGCACUCAGCUUGGCAGCAACUGUUCCAUGAAACCUCCAUGUAGCUGGGCUGAACUGAACACCCUGGGGAUUCCAGGUUGGGCUCGAGAAAUCGGGAAGAGCCCCUGUUUUAUUGAUACCCAAGACUGGCACUCCGGGACUCACAGACCAGAGUGACCAGACAGCUGUGACUGAGCAGUUGGGCUUCUCUGGAGAAGCCCAAAGGACAGUGAAUGGAGAGAUGCGGCCUGCUCACUAGCACGACCAGGCCCAACAGGGAACAUGUUUCUUAACCCCAGAGCUUGGGGGAGAAAGCAGGAGGGUCAGGAGUUCAAGGUCAUCCUCAAACACAACAAGUUUGAGGCCAGCCUGGUCUCCUUGAGACCCUGCCUCAAAAGCAACAAUGACAGAAAAAAUUACCACAUCACUGAGUAACAUUUGAGUCAUGAAAUACAACAUUCAGAAAAAGUAUGGAAGAUACCACAUGUAAUGUAAAUCUCAUGUGUAACCCCAUGCCGGGGUUUGUGGAGGAAGCAAGCUGAGCCAUCUCUCCUGGAGGCCUCUACCAGCUGCUUUUCCGUUCUUUCUUACUAUGUAGCCCUGGCUAACCUGGGACUCCCUACGUACACCAGGCUGGCCACAAACUCAGAGAUCCACCUGCCUUUGUGAGCUUUUCCGAGUGCUGGGGUUAAGGGUGUGGGACAACACAGCUAGCUGGUACAAUACAUUUUUAUUUUUCAUA